CCCAAGGUCUUAGAUUUAUAAGGUUGCCUCAUACAGCCGAUUUAGCCACUUCCUGCCAGAUUCCGGAUAUACGUCAUCCGUAGUCGAGCCCAAGGUCUAGCGACUGCUUCACUACUGUAAGCGAGGGAAGGAAAUUUUGGAAUUUAACUAUUUUUUUUUUAAUUUGUCGAGCGUUUUUAGACUCAUAAUCUUCGAAGAUGCCAGGAGCAACAUGUGCUGUUGCAAAUUGUGAUAACAGCCAUUGUAAAACAAAAGUCAUUAGACAGGAAAGUCAGUUAUUUUAGAUUUCCUAAAGAUCCAAUAAUAAGAAGAAAAUGGAUCCAUAACUGUAAAAGAAAAGACAAAUUUAAUCCUGAUUCUUGUCAUGUUUGCUCUGAUCAUUUCACAGAAAAUGAUUUUGA
Molecule: long non-coding RNA, 401 nt
Organism: Centruroides sculpturatus (bark scorpion)
Lineage: Eukaryota; Metazoa; Arthropoda; Arachnida; Scorpiones; Buthidae
Exons: 2
Source: RefSeq, a predicted model, not a curated record